CCAUGACUUCAACUCCAUUGAUUCCCAACUUCACCACACUAGCACAUCCGCAUUCUCACAGUAAUGAAGUUGUUGUUUCGAACGUAAUCCUGAGUAUUAUUACCACCGCCUCUCCAGGCUGAUGUUGAGUAUUAUUCCACCGCCUCUCCAGGCUGAUGUUGAGUAUUAUUCCACCGCCUCUCCAGGCUGAUCAGCAAGCUAUGAGUGUCAACUGGUAACUAUGAGAGCUCCCGCACUCUCAUAGCCUUCCUCUUCAUCAACGGCAACAUGAGCUGACGAACUACCACUGCCCCUUCUCUGAGGACAGUCCUUCUUGAAGUGACCCGAAUCCUAACAAUAGAAGCAUCUGAACCUGCCACCAUUAUCACCUNNNNNNNNNNNNNNNNNUUGACCCAUAUUUAUUCCCCUUUCCUCUACCUUCGUUAUCACUUCUAUCCCUCAUCACAUUUAACCCUUCCGCACUAUCAUCAACCCUCAAGUCUCUCAACUUUGUCAACUCCUUGGUCCUCAAAGCCGAUUGAACUUCAUCCAAUGUGACAGUACCUUCUUUGCCAUAAAGCAACGCAUCCUUG
Molecule: long non-coding RNA, 572 nt
Filed under: Trifolium pratense (red clover)
Lineage: Eukaryota; Viridiplantae; Streptophyta; Magnoliopsida; Fabales; Fabaceae
Description: long non-coding RNA (TPRA_LNC010578)
Source: RNAcentral